This 73-nucleotide transfer RNA is filed under the name Neotoma lepida (desert woodrat). It matches the Rfam family "tRNA". From Rfam's summary of the family: Transfer RNA (tRNA) molecules are approximately 80 nucleotides in length. Their secondary structure includes four short double-helical elements and three loops (D, anti-codon, and T loops). Lineage: Eukaryota; Metazoa; Chordata; Mammalia; Rodentia; Cricetidae. The record is from Rfam by way of RNAcentral.
GGGGAUAUAGCUCAAUCGGUAGAGUGCUUGCCUAACAUGCACAAGGCCCUGGGUNUGAGUCCCAGCAUCACAU